AUUGAACGCUGGCGGCAUGCCUUACACAUGCAAGUCGAACGGUAACAGGUUAAGCUGCCGAGUGGCGAACGGGUGAGUCAUGUAUCGGAACGUGCCCAGUCGUGGGGGAUAACUGCUCGAAAGAGCAGCUAAUACCGCAUACGACCUGAGGGUGAAAGCGGGGGAUCGCAAGACCUCGCGCGAUUGGAGCGGCCGAUACCAGAUUAGGUAGUUGGUGAGGUAAAGGCUCACCAAGCCGACGAUCUGUAGCUGGUCUGAGAGGACGACCAGCCACACUGGGACUGAGACACGGCCCAGACUCCUACGGGAGGCAGCAGUGGGGAAUUUUGGACAAUGGGCGCAAGCCUGAUCCAGCCAUGCCGCGUGCGGGAAGAAGGCCUUCGGGUUGUAAACCGCUUUUGUCAGGGAAGAAAAGGUUCUGGCUAAUACCUGGGACUCAUGACGGUACCUGAAGAAUAAGCACCGGCUAACUACGUG
RNAcentral lists this ribosomal RNA (477 nucleotides) under uncultured bacterium. RNAcentral describes it as "partial 16S ribosomal RNA". It matches the Rfam family "Bacterial small subunit ribosomal RNA", at positions 30 to 507 of the family's 1533-position model. The record is from RNAcentral.